CUAUUUAGUAGAAGGUAACUAUCAAACCACUGGGGCUACCAGUCAGUCUAGUGAUAGUAUUGUUUGUCUGAGAGACUGUCCCCUCCUUCCCCUGGCUACCGCCCAGGGGACUAUAAACUGGGAAAGCUGGACCUUGCUGGCCCGAGGUAGGGAACCGACAAAGAAAUGAACCCUGGGCACUAAAUUGUCAUACGAGAGGUCACUGAAACAGAUGGAUGGUGAUAAGGCACUAGAAAAAACUGCUAUUAUAACCCUGUGGAAAAAGGUUCUACAAACAGCCCAGAUUUUUAUUAAAAAAAUUUUUUUUUAUUUUAUAAAGAUCCAAACAAGACAACACAGCUUCCCGCAUUUGGACCCUGGCCCCACAACUGUGUGACCUUGGGCAGGUGACCCUCCCUUUUGUGUGGAAGACCCCUCCUCCCUAAGUGGAGACCUGGGGUCCCCAGAGAGGGAGGGGACGCUCGGUGCUGCCCCUGCCUGCCCUUUCCCAACACUAUAUCAGUCCCUGCACCCAGGCCCCUGCCCAGAGCUGGCAUCGGGGGCCCUGCUGGUCUCCCCACUAACCCCUGGGCUCCUCCGGGCCAGGCCGUGUCUGUCAUGGUAAUGACCCUCAGCACUGGACACACAGCAGAGCUGCUAACUGGAUGUUAAACCGAUCAAGACUCAAAAAGCCACUAAAGAUAAAAACAAUUUUGCCAAACCUCACAUGAACAUGCUUUCUCUUGAAAACUUCUUAUGAGUCAAUCAAGCAUUCUUCAGGUUUUGAAAUUAGAAAUUAGGCCACCAUCUGAAUUAGAAGUUAGCUUUACGUCCCUAAAGGUUACCCCUCCUCAAAAACUCAAGUCCCGUUCAGUAACGCAUUCUCUCCUUUCCGUCCACCAUGAGAGAGCCACCAACGACCACCCGACCAACAGCAAGAAGUCCAAACCGGUCAUAACGAGGUCUCGAAAUUAAAAAAAAUAAAUAAAAAUAAAAACAAUCAAUAGUAUGACAUAUAAAAUCAAGUGAUUCCAUUUCAGAAUAAAUUCAUAGUUCAAAAAAUAACUAGUCCACUCAGUGUCUAAUAAAUCAGAAAGCUCGCAAACCAAAAAAAUCCUUUAUAAAGCUACCCUACAAGUAUAAAAAUAGACAUUUCAUAUGCAAUGAAAUCAUCGUAUUGCUAACUAGUCAGUCCGUGUUUAAGAACUUAAAUCGAAAGUUACGUUUCGUAUUUGCCCCUUUGGUUCCUGCAGCUAAAAUAUCCACACGCUGGGCCGUGGUUUGCCCUUGGCCGUGUUUGCCGGGCCGUGCAAAACCAUGAAUUCUCUGCCCAGCCUCCGAGUUGGGCACUGUGGACAGUGAUUCCCACCAGCUUCAGUGAAGAGGUGUGGAGAGAAAAGCAGCACCCACUUCAUUCCGAUGGCUGAGUGUUCAUUUGCUUUAUCUUCCCCGGGUCCACCCUGGGACCUGAAAAAUCCUGUCUGGCAUUUUAGUCAUACGAACUAUUAGUCACCUAUAAUCCUGCCCCCACCCUUCCUUAGCACGGUUUAAAGGCGAUUCUGACAGUUAAGACUGUUUUGGGAGGCACCGCUGUGACAUUAAAAAAUUUAUAAAGUGAUCUGAGGAGGCUUAACUUUCAUUUUCUAGUUGGCCCGAUUCCGAACAAAAAAAAUUUACAUGACCGAUAUUUAAAAGUAACAACUACGAAGAAGUAUACUACCACCCCGAUAGAGUUUAAUAGAACUGUUAUUAAUCACUGUAGUAGUAACUGUGUUUUUAAGGUAAAUACGUGUUAACCCAAAUUCUGUAUAAACUAUAUGGGGCAAAGUGUAAUUACAUCCUCAUUGAAAACUUGUUGUCAUGUUAAAUUUUAAAGUCAAGCGGCCACACGGAGCCAAUGCAAACGCAAGGUAUUUAUUUCCUAAGUCCGGGAAGGCACUAACAUUUCCGAAAUUACGACCCACGGUGGGUUUCUGCAUUUCAAAGCACGAGUGCAUCUCUCUUUUAGGCUCCACGUCAAGCAUGGAAAGAACCUUUUACAGGAAGCUCUUUUCUAGUCGUUCCUGCACAUUUUCUGACUGCAAUUCAUCUUUAACUCAGAGAUCGUCCCCGACAAAACCCUUGCGGUAUCAAGCAACACAGACGUAACAGAAACUCCGCGAACGGGCGACUUGGCCAGGCGCUGCCGGCCCGCCUCUCCCUCCCACCCCCACCCAAUACCUUCCCCGGGCAGUGACUUCACAUCCUUUGACAUCAGCACAGCUCGGAAAGGGGGAUGGGAGAGCGAGCAGAAAGCAGAAAAACCAGCUUUGAACUAUGCAUGCAAGGCCUCUCGACACUCGAAUUCUAGCUGAAGGAUGCUGCUGGAUCCCAUGGCUGGCCACGGAAUUAUUUAUGACGAGCAAUGGGGAGCGGGCGCCGCCUGAGCACACUUGGCCUCACACCUGCCUGGCUCGUCUGCCACCUGGACAGCAGACACGGCUUAGCAGAAACAGCCCGUGCUUGGAGUCAGGCGAUGCCAAUUCCGACCCUUUGGGCUCGUCAGAUGCUCAGAUGCAGGGAGGACGGCUGCUCUAGGACUCAGUCCUCCAGGACUCACCAUCACCUCCUCCCCCAGGGAGUAAUGCUGGAUAAACUCAGACGUAAGUGCAGUUAGAAAGGAGCUGUGCAGGGGGCUCGGGACGUGCCGACUGCAGGGUUGUACUUUAAAAAGCCAGACCUGCCCUGAAAUCAUUUAAUGUUUCAUCUGAGAUGAGAGGGGAUACGUGCUUGUCCUAAAAUUGUGCUGAUGAAUCGGAAUGCAGAAAUAAGGGAGAAAGAAUCCUAGAAUCAUUAUAUAAAAUAUACAGAUUAGAAGUCAAAGAAAAAGCGAAGACGCUCUGAUGUAUUUUUCCUAAUGGUCUCUGAUCAAAGGAAUCCACCUUUAUUAGUGAUUUCUUGCAUGCUCUUUGAAAGUCUUAGGCGUAUAAAGUAGUUCUUUGCAGUGGUCCCCAACUUUGUGGCACCAGGAACCGGUGCUCCUGUGAGACCCUAAUGCGUGAUGAUCUAGGGCAGAGCUGAGGUGGUGAUGCCAGCGCUGGGGAGCGGCUGCAAAUACAGGUGAAGCUUUGCUCACCCGCCUGCCGCUCACCCCCUGUGGUGCAGCCCGGUUCCUAACAGGCCACAGACCAGGACCGGUCUGUGGCCGGGGGUUGGGGACCCCUGCUUUAAAGGACUCAAAGACUGUGAUCUGGAGAUCACCAAUGAAACAUACUCUAUAAACACACAAAUCAAUAACACGGAGGAAAAAAAGACCUGAACAAGUAAAGAUAAGGUGUGUUUCUGAACUGAAAGCACAAAUACUAUAAAUAUGCUGGUGCUAUUUCUUCCCCAAAUGGCUUUACCGUCAAAAUUCACACGGGUCUCUUUAUUUUUCUGGGUACCUGACAAAAUAAUCCUAAAGUUCACCUGGAAAAAUAAAAAGCAAGAAGAAUGAGAACACUUCCAGUGAGAAAGGCUAGUCCUGCCAGCUAUAGAAUGUAUGAAGUAACGACAGUGGACAUGGACUCACCAGGCGAGUUGACGGGACAGAAGUAACAGCUCCCAAAUCGAAAAGUAUAUUUAUACAAGUGUAAUAUUUAUACAAGUGUAAUGAGAAAGAAUGAAGCUCCAAUCAAUGAAAAGGGGAAGAUUAGGUUAACUGGUUGGUUUACACGUGGGGAAAAGACAAUUUAAGUCUUCACUACACAUGAAGAUUUGAGCCGCGUUUGUUAACAGUUAAAUAAAAACAAAUCAAAAUCAAAA
Molecule: long non-coding RNA, 3762 nt
Organism: Pteropus alecto (black flying fox)
Lineage: Eukaryota; Metazoa; Chordata; Mammalia; Chiroptera; Pteropodidae
Exons: 2
Source: RefSeq, a predicted model, not a curated record